GCAGAACCUGAGACACCUGCUCCUGCUGCUCCUGCAAAAGGAAAGGGCAAAACAGCUCAACAAGAACAAAGACGCAAACAGAAAGAGGAAACUGGUAAACCCUCUGGCAAAAAGACUAAAACUGGCAAAAAGUCUGCAGCUGAGUCUGGUACUACUGAGUUAGCAGCUGGGCCUAUUGUUCCUUUGACACCCGGAACUGAAUUGGCUGCUGCAAUUCUUCAAACUUUGAGUGACAAACCUGUCAAGCCCAAAAAGCUGAAAAUGGGUGCUCCAAAACCAAUCAGGAGAAGUUCCAGGCUGAAAGGAUAAACUGAACUUUGAUUGAAUUUUGUCUAACAGUC
RNAcentral lists this unclassified non-coding RNA (341 nucleotides) under Hevea brasiliensis (rubber tree). Lineage: Eukaryota; Viridiplantae; Streptophyta; Magnoliopsida; Malpighiales; Euphorbiaceae. The record is from RNAcentral.